CUCAAACUCAAACACAAGGAGGUUUUCAGUGCAACACCGUAUACCUCUUUCCAAUCAAUUUCACGCUAGCGUGAAUUAGCAACCAGUGGCUACCAGAGGUCAAUGACUAAUCUCUGCUCCUGAUUGAAUGGGACUUUCACAGUUAAUCUCUUUCAGUAAGCCUGUAGCAAAUGGCAAAAAGCUAGUUACAGUUCAUCAGCCUGUGCUCACCUGUACUCCAGUGAAAAGCGUGUUAAUUCUGUGCUAUUGUGGAUCCAUUUAAACUCUAGUGGCCAGCUUCCCUCCGCCAUGCAGAUCAUUGACGCACUCCCCUUCAGCAUAAUGUGUCCAUGACCUCCAUAGGCAGAGUUCUUUCUGGAUCAUUAUUAUUAUUUCAAAUGACGAUGAAAUACACAUUGAAAUAAAGGUAAAGCAGGUACUUGUGUCCAUUUUCAAGGAAAAUUAUCCUCUUAUAAGGUUCGUGAAAGCACAUCAUUUGAAUAGAUGCAAGUCCCUGUCAAUAUAGCUCAGCGGCUUUACAGAUGACAUUUCUUUUUUUUUCAGAUUUUUUGUGGCCAGUGCAAAACGGAGCAGUGAAUUUCCACAGAUAACGAAGUACUUUCCAGCUCCCAGAAGGCU
This 618-nucleotide long non-coding RNA is filed under the name Oreochromis niloticus (Nile tilapia). RNAcentral's name for it is "lncRNA (ENSONIG00000038375.1)". The record is from RNAcentral. Lineage: Eukaryota; Metazoa; Chordata; Actinopteri; Cichliformes; Cichlidae.